UACAGAGGCCCCAAGCGUUAGGCGGAAUCACUGGGCUUAAAGCGUGUGUAGGCGGACUUCUAAGUGCCUUGUGAAAUCCCACGGCUCAACCGUGGAACUGCUGGGCAUACUGGGAGUCUUGGGCCAUUCAGGGGCAACUGGAACAAGCGGUGGAGCGGUGAAAUGCGUAGAUAUCGCUUGGAACGCCGAAGGUGAAAACAGGUUGCUGGGGAUGUGCCGACGCUGAGACACGAAAGCCAGGGGAGCAAACGGG
RNAcentral lists this ribosomal RNA (253 nucleotides) under uncultured bacterium. RNAcentral describes it as "partial 16S ribosomal RNA". It matches the Rfam family "Bacterial small subunit ribosomal RNA", at positions 524 to 776 of the family's 1533-position model. The record is from RNAcentral.